GCACUGAAGAGAAGAUUUAUCUUUUCUACUUCUUUUAAACAGAUCAAGAAACUGGGGAGUGGAGAAUAGUGAAAGAAAUGUAAUCUGAUCCUACUAGCAGUGAAGGGCGAGGAUAUACCCAGGAAAACAGAAUGACUCCUUGAAGUGGCCCAAGCUACCACCUGAAACAUCUCUAAAGACAAAAGAUGAUGUUGGGGAGUCCUUCCUUGAUAACCAAGAGACAAGAGGAUAUUUUCCCUCCACAUUGACAUCAAGUUUUGCUAUAUUGCUAGGUUUGGUUCAUAGAAUGAACAGAUAAAAAACAAAGAAGUAAUAGGUAAGUAGAUUUUUAUGAGUUUUAUGAGAAGUUUAUGAAUUUUAUGAUUCUGUAGUUUUGUUUUUUUAUUUUCUCUGACAAAUGACUCUCCUGACCCACAUGAUCCAGAUCAUUCAACGCACAAAAGUGAGUGAAAAUAAAUGCUUUCUUGCUAAAAACCCUGUAAAUUUGGGGGUACUUUGCUAUCAAGUGUUAAGUAGAAAUGCAUACUAUACACUCUACUUAUAUAUCUUCUUCCCUCAUAGAUAUAUUAUCUUGACUGCAUACAUAUUAUUAUAUUACAUAAUCUUGAAUACAGAACUAUGGAUACCUGGUUACUAAAAUUAGACCCCUGGACCUCAUUCCUUCUUUCUGGAGCCCUAUUCCCUUUUUUUUUUUUUUUUUUCCCUUUUCUUCCUAUGCACUUGAUUGUAGGAUAUGAAGUAUUAGGGGGGGAAUGCUUUCUGGAAAUUUACUGAUGGUAAACAACAGUAUAAACAAAAUUAAGCACCAAUCAAUUUGAAAUAUGUUGUGGAUUAAAACAAAUUCUUGUUAGCAGUAUAAUCAUAACAAAAAGGUUUUUAGGAAUUUUAUGGUCACAAGCUGACUCCAUCUACAGAAAAAUAAAUUCUUCUCAAACUAGACUGAAUUUUCACAUGGAAAUCAGAAUGAGUGCAUAAAUGCAAACUUGAGAACUGGAAUCAUUAUGUUACUUUUGUUUUGUCUGGUUCAUGUUUUAAUUAAUAGUAUAUAUUUUCUUAUUUUUUUAUGAGAAUGGUUAUUGAGAACUAGUGGUAACAGUGGGAACUUGAAGGUCUACUCAUGGUUGAGGGUUAUUUAGCAUUCUCAAGAGAGUCUCCACAGGACUCUCAGUUAUAACUUACAUUAUUAAUAGGCAGACAUCUUGAACAAUGAUUUUUCUCAUGAGACAAAAAAAUAUUAACUAAAAAAAUAGGGAAAGCUAAAUCUUUCUAUCAUCUGUGCUUAAACAUUGCAUUUCACAGUUAUUGCUACUUAUUGAUAUCUUUAUUUAUUUAUUUAUUUAUUUAUUUA
Long non-coding RNA from Felis catus (domestic cat), 1348 nucleotides. RefSeq lists it as uncharacterized. The transcript is spliced from 3 exons. NCBI's taxonomy places the organism in Eukaryota, Metazoa, Chordata, Mammalia, Carnivora, Felidae. The record is from RefSeq and is a predicted model, not a curated record.